UAUCGGUUCCUUCGCGACGACCAACCGUGAACCCCGUCAGGCCCGGAAGGGAGCAGCGGCAGCGGCGAUGUCGGGUGCCGAAGUUCGGCUGGUGCGG
This 97-nucleotide signal recognition particle RNA is filed under the name Pseudomonadota bacterium. Its description in RNAcentral is "Proteobacteria bacterium (activated sludge metagenome) signal recognition particle sRNA small type". It matches the Rfam family "Bacterial small signal recognition particle RNA". Rfam says of the family: The signal recognition particle (SRP) is a universally conserved ribonucleoprotein involved in the co-translational targeting of proteins to membranes. RNAcentral also lists the same sequence under 1 other name. Lineage: Bacteria; Pseudomonadati; Pseudomonadota. The record is from RNAcentral.